This 253-nucleotide ribosomal RNA is filed under the name uncultured bacterium. Its description in RNAcentral is "partial 16S ribosomal RNA". It matches the Rfam family "Bacterial small subunit ribosomal RNA", at positions 524 to 776 of the family's 1533-position model. The record is from RNAcentral.
GACAGAGGAUGCAAGCGUUAUCCGGAAUGAUUGGGCGUAAAGCGUCUGUAGGUGGCUUUUCAAGUCCGCCGUCAAAUCCCAGGGCUCAACCCUGGACAGGCGGUGGAAACUACCAAGCUGGAGUACGGUAGGGGCAGAGGGAAUUUCCGGUGGAGCGGUGAAAUGCAUUGAGAUCGGAAGGAACGCCCGUGGCGAAAGCGAGGUCCUGGACGCCUACUGACGCUGAGACGCGAAAGCCAGGGGAGCGAACGGG